UAGGGAAUAUUGGUCAAUGGGUGAGAGCCUGAACCAGCCAUGCCGCGUGCAGGAAGACGGCCUUCUGGGUUGUAAACUGCUUUUACUUGGGGAUAAAAACACUGUGCGCAGUGGAUUGCAGGUACCAAGGGAAUAAGCCACGGCUAACUACGUGCCAGCAGCCGCGGUAAUACGUAGGUGGCGAGCGUUGUCCGGAUUUAUUGGGUUUAAAGGGUGCGUAGGCGGCUUAUUAAGUCAGUGGUGAAAGACGGCAGCUUAACUGUCGAGGUGCCAUUGAUACUGAUGAGCUAGAGUACUGAUGAGGUAGGCGGAAUGGACGGUGUAGCGGUGAAAUGCAUAGAUAUCGUCCAGAACACCGAUAGCGAAGGCAGCUUACUAAGGAGUAACUGACGCUGAGGCA
Molecule: ribosomal RNA, 400 nt
Filed under: uncultured bacterium
Lineage: Bacteria
Description: bacterial SSU rRNA
Rfam family: Bacterial small subunit ribosomal RNA
Source: RNAcentral